RNA transcript from Pistacia vera, 3817 nucleotides. RefSeq lists it as uncharacterized. The record is from RefSeq and is a predicted model, not a curated record. Lineage: Eukaryota; Viridiplantae; Streptophyta; Magnoliopsida; Sapindales; Anacardiaceae. The transcript is spliced from 11 exons.
UUUUCCCCAAUUUGGUAGAUGUCAGGCUGGAAGCAAUUAAUUCUCAAAUGAUAUGGGACAGUCAACUUCCAGUAAUUUCUGAUGGCUAUAAAAAUUUGACUAGUUUGGUCAUCAAGUACAUUAAAAAACUAAAAUAUGUAUUCCCAUAUUCUUUGGUGAAAAACUUUGAAAAACUCCAACACUUCCAGAUAAGUUCUUGUAAGGAGUUGAAGGAGAUUGUCGCCGAAGAAGGAGCAGAAGCACCUCCUACAUUUAUCUUUCCAUCGGUAGAAUUCUUAAAACUAGAAAACUUACCCGAACUUAAAACUUUCUACCCUGGAAUACACACUUCAGAAUGGCCAAGUUUAAAGAAGUUGGAAGUGUCUAGAUGUGACAAACUACAAAUAUGCACUUCAGAAUGCAAGGUUGUUUUACCCGAUUUGGAGGCCUUAGAACUGCAGGGAACCAAUACCGAAAAGAUCUGGCACUCUCAACUUCUAAAAACAUCUUCUGGCCCCCGAAAAUUGACCCGUUUGAUCUUGAAGAACUAUGAAAAACUAAAAUACGUAUUUCCAUCUUCUAUGAUCAAAAGUUUCGAGCAGCUCCAACACCUCGAGAUAAGCACUUGUAAAGAACUAAAGGAGGUUGUUACCAAAGAAGACGGUGAAGAAAGAAUUGCUAAAUUUGACUUUCCGCAUGUGGCUUUCUUAAAACUUAAUGACUUGCCAGAAUUUACAACUUUUUGCCUUGGGAUAUCUACUUUAGAGUGGCCCUGGCCCAAGUUAAAGGAGCUGGAAGUGUCUAAUUGUGACAAAUUGCUGCAUUCAGAAAAUAAGAUUAGCGCCAAUUUGGAGGAAUUGGAAUUGGUAUUAAGAGUGGACAACAUGAUGACAUGGCAGUGUUUACUUCCAGAAAACUUCUCUUGCAAAUAUACUGUUGAGAUCAGUGGUGAUAAAUCAACAAAUAUUCCACUUGACAUCCUUCAAAGAUCUUUUGAUUUGGAAAAACUCAUACUAAGUACGAGUUCAUACAAAGAAAUAUUCUCAUAUGGAUUGCACGAUAGACAUACAGGGACAUUGCUGCAGAUAAAAAGUUUAGAGUUGAAUUUUCUUUCUAAUCUAAAUAACAUAUGGAGUAAAGACUCCAAAGUGGACUAUGUUAUUCAAAAUCUUGAGGUUCUAGAAGUACACAACUGUGACAAAUUGAGAUGUGUGCUGCCACCCCUAGCAUCUUUUGCAAAUCUAACAGUUUUGAGCAUAAGUUGUUGCUGGGGAUUGAUAAAAUUAUUCACACCCUCAACAGCCAAAAGCAUGGUGCAAUUGAGGGAAGUAAAAAUUCGGUCAUGCAAUAUGCUAAAAGAAGUGGUAUCAAAUGAGGAAGACGUUGGAGUAGAAGAUGGAAUUGUUUUUGACAAAUUGAAGUUGUUGUCACUUUUCAAAUUAGAAAGUCUCACAUGUUUCUGUUAUGGGAAUUUCACUUUCAAAUUCCCAGCUUUGGAAGAAUUAAUUGUGGAAGGCUGCCCCAACAUGAAGACGUUCGCUGAAGGAGACACAAGUGCACCAUGUUUACAAAAAGUAAAGAGGUACACACGGGGGAUGGAAGGAUAUUGGAAAAGUGACCUUAAUACAACUAUACAACAAUUAUACAAAAAAGGUAAACUCCAAUUUUGAGAGAUUGACAUUAAGUGGAAAAGACAUCAUGUCUAUGUGGCCAAAUCAGUUUCCAGAACAUCGGUUUUCCGAAGUGAAAGUUGUUAAUGUUAUUCAAAAUGAACCAACAAAUAUUCCCAUUGAAAUCCUUCAGAGAUUUAACAAUCUUGAAACGCUCGUAUUAAAAGGAAAUUCAUGCCAAGAGUUGUUCUCAUGUGGAGAGGUUGAGAAACAUGCAGGGAUGCUCACACAUAUUAAACAGUUAGAGCUUGAGGGACUUUUCAAUUUGAAGCACAUGUGGAAACAAGAUUCUCAUCAGGUCUCAAUUCUUCGAAAUCUUGAAGAGCUAUCAGUGUAUCAUUGUCACAAUUUGAUUAAUCUAGUGCCAUCUUCAGCAUCUUUUGACAAUCUAAUAACUCUGGAUGUACGGAAAUGUGAUGGAUUGGUAAACUUAGUAACAUCCUCAACGGCCAAAAGUAUGGUGAACCUUGAAAAGAUGUACAUAGGAGAUUGUGAGACGAUGAUUGAAAUAAUAGCAAAUACAGGAGAUGUUGAAAAAGAUGAAAUUGUAUUUAGUAAAUUAAAGUCCCUAUCAAUUCGGAAUUUAGAAAGUCUUAAAAGCUUUUGCUCUGGAAAUCACACCUUUAAAUUCCCGGCUUUGGCAGACAUGAUGGUGGAAGAAUGCCCCAAGAUAAACACUUUCUCUAGAGGACUCUUAAGCACACCAAAAUUGGACAAAGUGAGGCAGACUUGGUUUGGCAAAGAAGGGCUUUGGGAGGGUGAGCUUAAUACCACUAUACAACAUCUAUUCAAGAAAGCGGUAGGUCAAGAACUUCCAGGCAGCUCUUCCAAAAGUGCUUGAACUACAUAUAUCUGCAAUGUCCAGAGCACGCCUUAGUUCCUCUUCAAAGAGUGACAAAGCGAAGCUGUGCUCCGACGCUAAAAAGGAACUAAUUCUUCCUCUCCUUUCAGUCGAGUGAUUUGAAAUUCCUCUACAACAUCGAAUUCCCCGGCAUCGGUAUAGUUCAAAGACAUCCCUCCACUGAUCAUGCUUUUUCACUUCCAAUAUAUUUUGCCAAUGAUUCAGAAAGUUCACAGCAAAGUUCAAGUAAUAAGGCCUCUAUUUAGUUUUUUGAUGCAUUGCAGCUCAUGUUCCUCUGCUUUAAGUCAGACAAUGAGAUGGAUCUUUUUUCAUCUCCAAUGUACUGCUUUUGGGCUUUCCUUCAUUGUGAUGUUGCUGGUGUGAAAAUGUAACAACGCUUAUCUCCGUCACUCAUCAUUUGAAUUGGAGCAUCGGAAUUUCAGGGGGGAUAAGGGCUCUUUUGUGAGGCAUUAUUGCUGCUUGAGUUCCCUGUGUUGAGGUUGAUUUGAACGGUAGGCUAAAAUGUUAAGAAUAAUUAAAAUUGCUGAUGUUUGAAUUGUUUCAAGGAUUUGGUUGGACUCAUUUGAACAUUGAUUGGUUUGAUAUCUCUACGUUACAGGUAGGUCAGGAACUUCCAGGCAGCUCUUCCAAAAGUGCUUGAACUACCUAUAUCUGUCAUGUCCAAAGCACACCGAAGGAUAUUCCGAGUGCUGAAAAGGAUUUGGCCAAACUUCGACGAAAUCUCUGGGAUAAGGGCUCUUUUGUGAGGCAUCAUUGCGGCUCCAGUUCGUUGUGUUGAGGAGAAUGCAGAUUUUAGCUCAGAAAACAAUGGUGUACCUUCAUCUGUGUAAAAUCCGCACCUGCCACUCACAAAUCAAGGAUUGAAUGGGGAAAGAUCAGAUGCUCUGGAAUCCCAUCUUGAAGUUCCUUGAUUUGGAAUUCAUAGUGUGCAAAAAUGCCCCAAGAUUAACACCAAACUUUACCAAGUAAAGCAGAUCUAUCAUGUCAAUGAAGAGUAUUGGGAAGGUGACCUUAACACAAAUAUACAACAUCUUCACAAGAAAGAGAAUAUCAAGAGUUCUGGAAAAAUUCAGGUCAAACGUCAAUCCAGUCUCCAGAUUAAGGCCUCUUAUCUAAAUGGUUUGUGAGAUAUUGUGGCUCUUGGUCCCUAUGUUGAAAUGAGAGAGUGGAGGGGCAUUUUGUUUGUAUCUUUAUUGGCCUGUUUUAGCCCUCCUUCAUUGUGAAUUACUUCUUUGAAAGUGUUACAGAACUUAGUUUCUUCACUCAUUUGAGGUUGAUUUGAAUAGUGGAGGUUGUUUUUCAUUCA